CCGGUAACAUCGGAGUCCUUUGACGCAAGUUGCGCCCGAUGCCAUUAGGUUGAGGGCACGUCUGCCUGGGUGUCACAUAUCGAAGCCUCCUUGCCAAUUUCCCUGAUUAUUGUGCAGGGUGGAUGUUGGCCUCCCGUGAGCUCUUUCGUCUCAUGGUUGGUUGAAAAUUGAGACCUUGGUAGGGUGUGCCAUGAUAGAUGGUGGUUGUGUGACCCACGAGACCAAUCAUGCGCUGCUCUAUUGAAUUUGGCCUCCUUUACCCAUAUGCGUUUCCAAACGCUCGUGAUGAGACCUCAGGUCAGGCGGGGCUACCCGCUGAAUUUAAGCAUAUCAAUAAGCGGAGGAAAAGAAACUAACAAGGAUUCCCUUAGUAACGGCGAGCGAACCGGGAUAAGCCCACCAUGAGAAUCGGUCGCCCUCGGCGUUCGAAUUGUAGUUGAAAAAAACCGUCAAAAGGAA
This 459-nucleotide ribosomal RNA is filed under the name Vicia faba var. faba. RNAcentral's name for it is "eukaryotic LSU rRNA". The stretch from base 289 to 459 matches the Rfam family "Eukaryotic large subunit ribosomal RNA", at positions 1 to 173 of the family's 3401-position model. The record is from RNAcentral. Lineage: Eukaryota; Viridiplantae; Streptophyta; Magnoliopsida; Fabales; Fabaceae.